CCUGACCCAACAGCUACCUAUGGGCCUCAUUCCCUUCUACACACGUUGCAACCCCAACCCCUGAUACCCUGAUCACAGCCACCAACAGAAGGAAGAGGAAAAAAGGAGUUAUCUGGUCACACGGGUAGAAGUGAAUUAAGAAGUCGAUAGGCAUUACUAUGUAUAAGUGAGAACUAAUUGAAUCAAGAAAUUGAUGACACCUGAUAUAAUGGCUGAAGGUAAAACAAAGCCAUCCAUUCUAGUUGCUGCAUCCUGAAGAUUCCAAGCUCCAGGUGAGGGCAUCCAAGCUCUUCCAUGACUCAUUAAGCAUACUCGACUUGUUCAUAUGGGAAGUUCAUCCAUGCAUGCAGAAGAAAAAACAACUAACAGCAGGGUUUUCAGUACUCAGCAGGGUAAAAAGUUGUUAUAUUUGUGCUGCCAAAGCUUUUCUGGUUGUUGUUUACUCAGUUUGGAAUUUUUAGUUACCCUUGUACAUGAAAAAAAGAAACUAAAAAGCCCUGUGGAUUUCAAGCUAUGGUGGAGUGUUCCACAGGGAAGUCUCAAGUACAUGCUUGAUUGAUUGUCAUUGUCUUUAGUACUAUUUGUUUUUCUUUAAAAUUUUAAUUAUUAUGAAUAUAUAAUAAUUAUACACACUUAUGGAGUACAGGUGAUAUUCAUACAAUGAUCUCAUGAAAGAUACCUCCUCACGCCUUAGGAGAGCCAAUACUGUCAAUACCAAUACCUCCUAAAGCUGUAUUUUUUCUUUAAUUUCUCUUAAGUUCUAAUAAGGCAAAUACUCGAAGUCUAGUUCAUAUCUGAAUGGAGAGCUGUGUAAAGAGCAUACAAAUCCUACAGAAUAAUGAUUUUCUAACUUACUGGCAUAUUGAAAUAAGUUGUGUCAGAGGCAUUUCAACCAGAGCAACUCCAUCUUGGGUAGGGGCUGAGUGAAAUAAGGCUGAGACCUGCUGGGCUGCAUUCCCAGUAGGUCACACAUUCUUCUCUUUUUCUUUUUUGAGAUGGAGUUUCACUCUUGUUACCUAGGCUGGAG
RNAcentral lists this long non-coding RNA (1027 nucleotides) under Homo sapiens (human). Its description in RNAcentral is "HSALNT0287133". Lineage: Eukaryota; Metazoa; Chordata; Mammalia; Primates; Hominidae. The record is from RNAcentral.